Molecule: ribosomal RNA, 1337 nt
Filed under: uncultured bacterium
Lineage: Bacteria
Description: bacterial SSU rRNA
Rfam family: Bacterial small subunit ribosomal RNA
Source: RNAcentral
GACGAACGCUGGCGGCGUGCUUAACACAUGCAAGUCGAACGGAAAGGCCCUUCGGGGUACUCGAGUGGCGAACGGGUGAGUAACACGUGGGUGAUCUGCCCUGCACUUUGGGAUAAGCCUGGGAAACUGGGUCUAAUACCGAAUAGGACCACGCGCUUCAUGGUGUGUGGUGGAAAGCUUUUGCGGUGUGGGAUGGGCCCGCGGCCUAUCAGCUUGUUGGUGGGGUAAUGGCCUACCAAGGCGACGACGGGUAGCCGGCCUGAGAGGGUGACCGGCCACACUGGGACUGAGAUACGGCCCAGACUCCUACGGGAGGCAGCAGUGGGGAAUAUUGCACAAUGGGCGCAAGCCUGAUGCAGCGACGCCGCGUGAGGGAUGACGGCCUUCGGGUUGUAAACCUCUUUCAAUAGGGACGAAGCGCAAGUGACGGUACCUAUAGAAGAAGCACCGGCCAACUACGUGCCAGCAGCCGCGGUAAUACGUAGGGUGCGAGCGUUGUCCGGAAUUACUGGGCGUAAAGAGCUCGUAGGUGGUUUGUCGCGUUGUUCGUGAAAACUCACAGCUUAACUGUGGGCGUGCGGGCGAUACGGGCAGACUAGAGCACUGCAGGGGAGACUGGAAUUCCUGGUGUAGCGGUGGAAUGCGCAGAUAUCAGGAGGAACACCGGUGGCGAAGGCGGGUCUCUGGGCAGUAACUGACGCUGAGGAGCGAAAGCGUGGGGAGCGAACAGGAUUAGAUACCCUGGUAGUCCACGCCGUAAACGGUGGGUACUAGGUGUGGGUUCCUUCCUUGGGAUCCGUGCCGUAGCUAACGCAUUAAGUACCCCGCCUGGGGAGUACGGCCGCAAGGCUAAAACUCAAAGGAAUUGACGGGGGCCCGCACAAGCGGCGGAGCAUGUGGAUUAAUUCGAUGCAACGCGAAGAACCUUACCUGGGUUUGACAUGCACAGGACGCCGGCAGAGAUGUCGGUUCCCUUGUGGCCUGUGUGCAGGUGGUGCAUGGCUGUCGUCAGCUCGUGUCGUGAGAUGUUGGGUUAAGUCCCGCAACGAGCGCAACCCUUGUCCUAUGUUGCCAGCGGGUUAUGCCGGGGACUCGUAGGAGACUGCCGGGGUCAACUCGGAGGAAGGUGGGGAUGACGUCAAGUCAUCAUGCCCCUUAUGUCCAGGGCUUCACACAUGCUACAAUGGCCGGUACAAAGGGCUGCGAUGCCGUGAGGUGGAGCGAAUCCUUUCAAAGCCGGUCUCAGUUCGGAUCGGGGUCUGCAACUCGACCCCGUGAAGUCGGAGUCGCUAGUAAUCGCAGAUCAGCAACGCUGCGGUGAAUACGUUCCCGGGCCU